Molecule: unclassified non-coding RNA, 159 nt
Filed under: Arthrographis kalrae
Lineage: Eukaryota; Fungi; Ascomycota; Dothideomycetes; Eremomycetales; Eremomycetaceae
Description: partial internal transcribed spacer 2
Source: RNAcentral
CACCCGUCAAGCCUCGCUUGGUGUUGGGGGACGUCGCGCCACGCGCGACCCCCCCGGAACCCGUUGGCGGUGGCCCUUCGCCCCGAUCGUCGCGCUCGUUACGACGGCGCGGGGGGACCGCCCGCCCAACUGGCCGGCAACGGCCACACAACACGCAAC